GGGGAAUUGUUCGCAAUGGGCGCAAGCCUGACGACGCAACGCCGCGUGGAGGAUGAAGAUCUUCGGGUCGUAAACUCCUGUCGAGCGGGACGAACACUUACCGGGCUAACAUCCGGGUAGGCUGACGGUACCGCUAAAGGAAGCCCCGGCUAACUCCGUGCCAGCAGCCGCGGUAAUACGGGGGGGGCGAGCGUUGUCCGAAGUUACUGGGCGUAAAGCGCGCGUAGGCGGGUUGGCAAGUCUGCUGUGAAAGCCCGGGGCUUAACUCCGGAGGGUCGGUGGAUACUGCCAGUCUUGAAGGUGCUAGGGAGAGAUGGAAUUACAGGUGUAGCGGUGAAAUGCGUAGAUAUCUGUAGGAACACCAGUGGCGAAGGCGGUCUCUUGGGGCAUUCUUGACGCUGAGGCGCGAAAGCUGGGGGAGCGAAC
Molecule: ribosomal RNA, 426 nt
Filed under: uncultured bacterium
Lineage: Bacteria
Description: bacterial SSU rRNA
Rfam family: Bacterial small subunit ribosomal RNA
Source: RNAcentral